Molecule: ribosomal RNA, 786 nt
Filed under: Triticum aestivum (bread wheat)
Lineage: Eukaryota; Viridiplantae; Streptophyta; Magnoliopsida; Poales; Poaceae
Description: partial small subunit ribosomal RNA
Source: RNAcentral
AUGAUCGGCUUCCAACUCAGUCUCCGCGGACAGGUCCGUCGGUCCAUUGUCCGGUUUGCGGGGGACCUUAGGGAUGCUAUAGCCCGCAAGGGUGAAACUGGAAGCAACUUAGUACAGCUAACCGUGCAUCGCAGGGGCAGGACAAACAUCAUGCAGACUUCGAGGUCAACACGCGCAUGCAAGACUAGCAGAGCCAAGACCCAUUUUCCCCGGCUGGCUGAGAUUUUAAAUAUGCCGCAACCGGGCAACGAUCAGCUCACACGUCACGCGGAGUCUCGAGGAGCAGCUCUCCUACUGUCACACUGGCUACUAGUACUACUCAGAACUGUACGCUAUUACCGGUGUAGUUCAGUGCUCUCUGCUCAGCCUACGUACACAGCUCGAUCGAUGAUGUACCGGAGGAUAACCGCCCGGCUGCUCGUCGUCGCCGCCGUCGUCCUCCUGUCCCUGCUGCUGGCCUCCUGCGCGGCCGUCCCGCGUGGCCUUGGCCUGCCGCCGCCGCGUCCUCCUCCGGGUACGUACGUGUAUACCCACCGAAGUUUCCUUUGGACGUUCCAAAUGCUAGCUCUUGUUCUUGUUGUGUGCAUGAAUGGGUGCGUCCAUGUGAUGGCAGUGCUGCUCCUAGGCGGCGGCCGGAGCCCGGCGCGCGAGGGGAUGGAGCUGGAUCUGGGAACGCCCGCGAGGCGGCUGGGGCAGCAAACGUCGACGAAUGUGCCUCCCUCGCCGAAGCCCCACGGCAACUCGGGGUCGGCGGGGCCCGACACGCCGCCGUCGAGCAACGAGUAG